Molecule: ribosomal RNA, 255 nt
Filed under: uncultured Actinomycetales bacterium
Lineage: Bacteria; Bacillati; Actinomycetota; Actinomycetes; Actinomycetales
Description: partial 16S ribosomal RNA
Rfam family: Bacterial small subunit ribosomal RNA
Source: RNAcentral
CUUUUGUGGGGUGCUCGAGUGGCGAACGGGUGAGUAACACGUGAGUAACCUGCCCUUGACUUUGGGAUAACUUCAGGAAACUGGGGCUAAUACCGGAUAGGAGCUCCUGCCGCAUGGUGGGGUUGGAAAGUUUCGGCGGUUGGGGAUGGACUCGCGGCUUAUCAGCUUGUUGGUGGGGUAGUGGCUUACCAAGGCUUUGACGGGUAGCCGGCCUGAGAGGGUGACCGGCCACAUUGGGACUGAGAUACGGCCCAG